GAUCCCGGCGGUAGUAGCAGCGAAGCGGGGUGGAAAUCCCCGCCGCCGGAAGGGCCAGGGUUCCCCGGCAAUGUUCGUCAGCCGGGGGUCAGCCGGUCCUAACCGGGCCCUUAACCGGUGCCCGGGAAGGGGAAACGGGUUAACAUUCCCGUGCCGCGGGGGUACGCUUCGGGGCAACCCAAGGCCCAGCCCCCGACGCCUCGGGGUAGGCGGACUGGGGGCCUCCGUUUCGGGGGCGACCCAGCUAACUGCCCGAAGGCCGCUGAGUGCCGUAAUGGCGAGAGGCGGCUCAAGGGGGGAAUGGCCCGCCUUUUGGCGGGUUCCGCCGAGCCCUGGGGCCCAUGAAAAGGGGGCUGGGAAGGAUCCCCCGCGCCCGUACCGAGAACCGACACAGGUGCCCCUGGGUGAGGAGCCCAAGGCGUCGGGGGGUCAACCCGGGCCAGGGAACUCGGCAAACUGGCCCCGUAACUUCGGGAGAAGGGGUGCCUGCGGUCCUCGGCCUAAACCGGGGUCCGCAGGUCGCAGUGACAAGGGGGACCUGACUGUUUAACAAAAACAUAGCUCCCCGCUAGCCCGAAAGGGUGUGUACGGGGGGUGAAUCCUGGCCACUGGUGGUACGUGAAACCCGGGUUCAACCGGGCGAAGCGCCACUGAAGGCCGGGGGUAACCCUGACCCUCUUAAGGUAGCCAAAUGCCUUGUCGGGUAAGUUCCGACGCGCAUGAACGGAUCAACGAGGUCCCCGCUGUCCCGGCCCGGGGCCCCGCGAACCCACUGGGUGGGUGCACAGCCCCACAACCCCCCGCAGGGCGAGAAGACCCCGUGGAGCUUUACCGCAGCCUGCCGUUGACCCUCGGGUGGAGGCGCGUAGCGUAGGUGGGAGCCCGUGAGGGGUCCCUUUCGGGGGACCCUGAGGUGACAAUGAAACACCACCCACUUCCGCCUGGGGGUCUAACCUGGCUUCGGCCAGGGACAGCGGUAGGUGGGCGGUUCGGCUGGGGCGGCACGCCCGCGAGAAGGUAACACGGGCGCCCAAAGGUCGGCUCAGGCGGGUCAGAAACCCGCCGUAGAGUGCAAGGGCAAAAGCCGGCCUGACCGGGCCCCCAACGGCACGGGGCCCGGACGGGAAACCGCGGCCUAGCGCACGCUCGUGCCCCCUUCGGUGGGGGCCGGGCACGACGGAAAAGUUACCCCGGGGAUAACAGGGUCGUCGCGGGCGAGAGCUCCUAUCGACCCCGCGGUUUGCUACAUCGAUGUCGGCUUUUCCCAUCCUGGGGGUGCAGCAGCCCCCAAGGGUGGGGCUGCCCGCCCAUUAAAGGGGAACGUGAGCUGGGUUCAGACCGUCGUGAGACAGGUCGGGCUCUACCCGCGGGGG
RNAcentral lists this ribosomal RNA (1373 nucleotides) under sediment metagenome. RNAcentral describes it as "bacterial LSU rRNA". It matches the Rfam family "Archaeal large subunit ribosomal RNA", at positions 1380 to 2719 of the family's 2987-position model. The record is from RNAcentral.